GAUGAACGCUAGCGGCAGGCUUAACACAUGCAAGUCGAGGGGUAACGGGGAAGCUUGCUUCCGCCGACGACCGGCGCACGGGUGCGUAACGCGUAUACAAUCUACCUUGUACUGGGGUAUAGCCUUUAGAAAUGAAGAUUAAUCCCCCAUAGUCUCUUAGAGUGGCAUCACUUCUAGAGUAAAGGUUACGGUAUAAGAUGAGUAUGCGUUCUAUUAGUUUGUUGGUGUGGUAACGGCACACCAAGACUACGAUAGAUAGGGGCCCUGAGAGGGGGAUCCCCCACACUGGUACUGAGACACGGACCAGACUCCUACGGGAGGCAGCAGUGAGGAAUAUUGGACAAUGGAGGCAACUCUGAUCCAGCCAUGCCGCGUGCAGGAAGACUGCCCUAUGGGUUGUAAACUGCUUUUAUACAGGAAGAAACACCUCUACGUGUAGAGGCUUGACGGUACUGUAAGAAUAAGGAUCGGCUAACUCCGUGCCAGCAGCCGCGGUAAUACGGAGGAUCCAAGCGUUAUCCGGAAUCAUUGGGUUUAAAGGGUCCGUAGGUGGAUAACUAAGUCAGAGGUGAAAUCUUGCAGCUCAACUGUAAAAUUGCCUUUGAAACUGGUUAUCUUGAGUUAUUAUGAAGUAGUUAGAAUAUGUAGUGUAGCGGUGAAAUGCAUAGAUAUUACAUAGAAUACCAAUUGCGAAGGCAGAUUACUAAUAAUUAACUGACACUGAUGGACGAAAGCGUGGGUAGCGAACAGGAUUAGAUACCCUGGUAGUCCACGCCGUAAACGAUGGUUACUAGCUGUUUGGACUUCGGUCUGAGUGGCUAAGCGAAAGUGAUAAGUAACCCACCUGGGGAGUACGUUCGCAAGAAUGAAACUCAAAGGAAUUGACGGGGGCCCGCACAAGCGGUGGAGCAUGUGGUUUAAUUCGAUGAUACGCGAGGAACCUUACCAGGGCUUAAAUGUAAGUUGCAUUAGCUAGAGAUAGCUAUUUCUUCGGACCACUUACAAGGUGCUGCAUGGUUGUCGUCAGCUCGUGCCGUGAGGUGUCAGAUUAAGUCCUAUAACGAGCGCAACCCCUGUUGUUAGUUGCCAGCGAGUCAUGUCGGGAACUCUAACAAGACUGCCAGUGCAAACUGUGAGGAAGGUGGGGAUGACGUCAAAUCAUCACGGCCCUUACGUUCUGGGCUACACACGUGCUACAAUGGUAGGUACAGAGAGCAGCCACUGCGCGAGCAGGAGCGAAUCUAUAAAACCUAUCACAGUUCGGAUCGGAGUCUGCAACUCGACUCCGUGAAGCUGGAAUCGCUAGUAAUCGGAUAUCAGCCAUGAUCCGGUGAAUACGUUCCCGGGCCUUGUACACACCGCCCGUCAAGCCAUGGAAGUUGGAAGUGCCUGAAGUCCGUCACCGCAAGGAGCGGCCUAGGGUAAAGUCGAUAACUAGGGCUAAGUCGUAACAAGGUAGCCGUACCGGAAGGUGCGGCUGGAACACCUCCUUUCU
Molecule: ribosomal RNA, 1495 nt
Filed under: uncultured marine bacterium
Lineage: Bacteria
Description: 16S ribosomal RNA
Rfam family: Bacterial small subunit ribosomal RNA
Source: RNAcentral